AGCCUGUAACAAGCUUUAAGUUGAGAUGGCCUAUGCUCAGCCUAACUAAAGGAGCUUUCUAUCGACCUCGCAUGAGUCGACGAUUCCUAAUCGGCUAGGAGUGCCAAUUCCAUGCAUAUGUACACAAAGACAUGUGGCGAUAGAAUUUAAACUCGCUUUUCAAUUGAUAACAAAAGUUACUACAAAGACGACGCAUCAAGCGUAGCAUCAAAAAAUGAUAAAUAAAAAUACACAACA
Molecule: long non-coding RNA, 237 nt
Filed under: Elaeis guineensis (African oil palm)
Lineage: Eukaryota; Viridiplantae; Streptophyta; Magnoliopsida; Arecales; Arecaceae
Description: long non-coding RNA (EGUI_LNC039244)
Source: RNAcentral